RNAcentral lists this ribosomal RNA (468 nucleotides) under uncultured bacterium. Its description in RNAcentral is "partial 16S ribosomal RNA". It matches the Rfam family "Bacterial small subunit ribosomal RNA", at positions 28 to 507 of the family's 1533-position model. The record is from RNAcentral.
GACGAACGCUGGCGGCGGGCUUAACACAUGCAAGUCGAACGGAAAGGCCCUGCUUUUGUGGGGUGCUCGAGUGGCGAACGGGUGAGUAACACGUGAGUAACCUGCCCUUGACUUUGGGAUAACUUCAGGAAACUGGGGCUAAUACCGGAUAGUAGCUCCUGCUGCAUGGUGGUGGUUGGAAAGUUUCGGCGGUUGGGGAUGGACUCGCGGCUUAUCAGCUUGUUGGUGGGGUAGUGGCUUACCAAGGCUUUGACGGGUAGCCGGCCUGAGAGGGUGACCGGCCACAUUGGGACUGAGAUACGGCCCAGACUCCUGUGGGAGGCAGCGGGGGGGAAUAUUGCACAAUGGGCGGAAGCCUGACGCAGCAACGCCGCGUGCGGGAUGACGGCCUUCGAGUUGUAAACCGCUUUCGCAUGUGACGAAGCGUGAGUGACGGUAAUGGGUAAAGAAGCACCGGCUAACUACGUG